CCUUUGUGGUAUUCUGAUUUAGUAAUGUAAUUAUAUUAGUUUUGUUACCACCCCACGCCACUAGAGGCAGUAUCAGGCCCGAAAAGAUGCGACUAAGGAGCCGAUUUAGAAGUUCACAGAAAGCUACAGAACUUAUUAGAAACUGUGAGCUGAGCUGAAGAAAAUAAAAGACAGAAGUUCAAAUACA
Molecule: long non-coding RNA, 187 nt
Organism: Xiphophorus couchianus (Monterrey platyfish)
Lineage: Eukaryota; Metazoa; Chordata; Actinopteri; Cyprinodontiformes; Poeciliidae
Exons: 2
Source: RefSeq, a predicted model, not a curated record